CCAUAGGGAAAUGUAUUCCCCUGAACCGAACUUGGUCUGUAUGAGUCUAUAAUGGGUGAAGACUGAGGAAUCUGCUGGUUCGGGUACCUCGACUUUAGAACCAAACCGCAUAUAGAUAUAAAAACUACGUUAAAAGAAAUGAAGAAGGGAGGAAAACAGAGGGAGAAGCAGAAGAGAAUAGAAAAAAAAGUUAAAAGAACAUAAAAGAAAAAAAUUAAAUGCUCA
This 225-nucleotide long non-coding RNA is filed under the name Gossypium raimondii (Peruvian cotton). Its description in RNAcentral is "long non-coding RNA (GRAI_LNC006492)". The record is from RNAcentral. Lineage: Eukaryota; Viridiplantae; Streptophyta; Magnoliopsida; Malvales; Malvaceae.